Molecule: ribosomal RNA, 253 nt
Filed under: uncultured bacterium
Lineage: Bacteria
Description: partial 16S ribosomal RNA
Rfam family: Bacterial small subunit ribosomal RNA
Source: RNAcentral
UACGGGGGGGGCAAGCGUUGUUCGGAAUUACUGGGCGUAAAGGGCUCGUAGGCGGCCAACUAAGUCAGACGUGAAAUCCCUCGGCUCAACUGGGGAACUGCGUCUGAUACUGGAUGGCUUGAGUGUGGGAGAGGGAUGCGGAAUUCCAGGUGUAGCGGUGAAAUGCGUAGAUAUCUGGAGGAACACCGGUGGCGAAGGCGGCAUCCUGGACCACGACUGACGCUGAGGAGCGAAAGCCAGGGGAACAAACGGG